GCUAUUUUGCCAGAAACCUUUUUCAUUCUACUCAUAUUUCAGAAGAACUUACAAACAGAAUGGAGAUGAUGAGUAUGGGUUUUGAUGUGGCUUAAGAGAUUAGAUGGUAAUCUUUGUGAGCUACUAGAAAAGGUUAGGUAAGCCUCUGAGAUUAGAAUCAUUAUUAGUGGUAAAGGAUUGGAAAGCAUUACAUUUUAGGGUUAAUUUAUUAAAUGACAAGAUAAAGAAGAUUUCAAUUAGUUGCAUUUAGCAAUUUUCUUAAAAUUUUCACUUGUUUUGUCAUUCACAAAGGUUGAAAGAUUACAAGAUUCUUUGGAUCUGUAGUUAAGUUGUUAUUAUCUUUUUGUGUAUUUCAUUAUAAGGAUUAGAAAACUUCAAGAUCCUUAACAUUUUUGAAUGUUUGAUUUAACAAAAGAAAUUUAAUUUGUGUGUUGAUAUUUCUUGUUAUUGGUAUAUUCGCAGCCAUAAUGAAUGAUGAUGAUGAGUAGAAGAGAGGAAGACAAAUAAAGAAGGGAAAAUGGAUAGUGAAGGGGACGGUGCUGGUGGUGUUGAGUGGUGGGCUUUCUCAUUCUCUCACUUUUCUUGUCAAAUGUCUUGUCUUCUCCAUUUCCACACUCCAAUCCUUUUAUGCAACCUGUGAUUUCUUUAUUUAUUUGUCCUUCUUUUGCUCAACUAUGAUGUUUAAUCUAAAAUAAGAACCCAAAAAAUUGAUAUGUGCCCCCAUUUUAUGUGGUUUUAAGCAUCGUCCACUUUGUUAUAAUAUCACUCUUCAAUUUGGGUCAUUGUGACAUCGAUUUUGUAUUUUGAUUUUCCUUGAUUGACUUG
Molecule: long non-coding RNA, 825 nt
Filed under: Capsella rubella
Lineage: Eukaryota; Viridiplantae; Streptophyta; Magnoliopsida; Brassicales; Brassicaceae
Description: long non-coding RNA (CRUB_LNC003571)
Source: RNAcentral